Molecule: ribosomal RNA, 252 nt
Filed under: uncultured bacterium
Lineage: Bacteria
Description: partial 16S ribosomal RNA
Rfam family: Bacterial small subunit ribosomal RNA
Source: RNAcentral
UACGGGGGGUGCGAGCGUUGUCCGGAAUCACUGGGCGUAAAGGGCGCGUAGGUGGCCUGAUAAGGGUGUGGUGAAAGUCCGGGGCUCAACCCCGGAUCUGCCGUGCCGACUGUUGGGCUGGAGUACUGUAGGGGCAGGCGGAAUUCCGGGUGUAGCGGUGAAAUGCUUAGAUAUCGUCAAGAACACCGAUAGCGAAGGCAGCUUACUAGACUGUAACUGACGCUGAUGCACGAAAAGUGUGGGGAUCAAAAC